AAAGAACCCCGGUGAGGGGAGUGAAAUAGAACCUGAAAUCACACGACCCGCAAACAGUCGGAGCGCAAUGGGAGGAGUAAUCUUUUCAGGCGUGACGGCGUACCUUUUGCAGAAUGAGCCUGCGAGUUAUUAGUGUUGGCAAGGUUAAGCGUUUAAGACGCGCAGCCGGAGGGAAACCGAGUCUGAAUAAGGCGUCGAGUCAGCAUUAGUAGACCCGAAACCGCGUGAUCUAGCCAUGGCCAGGGUGAAGUGUUGGUAACACAACAUGGAGGCCCGAACUCAUUGAUGUUGAAAAAUCUCGGGAUGAGCUGUGGUUAGUCCGGUGAAAUGCCAAUCGAACGCAGAGAUAGCUGGUUCUCCCCGAAAUGCAUUUAGGUGCAGCGUCAGGCGUUGUUCUUUGGGGGUAGAGCACUGAAUGGGCUAGGGGGCUUACCCGCUUACCGAACCCAACCAAACUCCGAAUACCAUUGAAUAAGCCUGGCAGUGAGACGGUGAGUGAUAAGAUCCAUCGUCAAAAGGGAAACAACCCAGACCGACAGCUAAGGGCCCUAAACGUGGACUAAGUGUGAAACGAUGUGAGAUCGCGUAAACAGCCAGGAGGUUGGCUUGGAAGCAGCCACCCUUUAAAAAGUGCGUAACAGCUUACUGGUCAAGCAAUUCUGCGCCGAUAAUGAACGGGAGUAAGUACGACACCGAAGCAGUAAGUUUGUCGAUUCUUCGGAAUCGCCAAGCGGUAGGAGAGCGCUGUACGUCAGAUACAAGCGGUACCGUAAGGAGCCGUGUCGGGGCGUACAGGUGAUUAUGCCGGAAUGAGUAACGAUAAGACAGGUGAGAAUCCUGUCCGCCGAAAACCCAAGGUUUCUCCGGCUAUGUUCGUCAGACGGAGGUUAGGCGGUCCCUAAGGUGAGGCCAGAAGGCGUAGCCGAUGGAUAUCCGGUCGAAAUUCCGGACCCGGGACAGUGGCAAUGGGAGGACGCUUCUCGAAAUUCCAUCCCGCACCGUUGGUAGUGGCGGGCUAGAAGAAGGCUGGGCCAGUUGAGAGAUUGGCAUAAAGGCCGACUUCGGGGAAGGGAUCCCUUCGGGGUGAACGAACUGGAAUGGAGGGGGGCCGAGAAAAGCCCCACAGCGAUACACUGUUUCCGACCGUACUGUAAACCGACACAGGUGGGUGAGUCGAGGAGACUAAGGCGUUCGAGAGAACUCUCGUUAAGGAACUAGGCAAAUUGACCCCGUAACUUCGGGAAAAGGGGUACCUCGCAAGAGGUCGCAGCGAAGCAGCCCAGGCGACUGUUUACCAAAAACACAGGUCUCUGCUAAGGCGAAAGCCGAAGUAUAGGGGCUGACGCCUGCCCAAUGCCAGUAGGUUAAUGGGAGAUGUCAGGGGCAACCCGAAGCAUUGAACUGAAGCCCUGGUGAAUGGCGGCCGUAACUCUAACGGUCCUAAGGUAGCGAAAUUCCUUGUCGGCUAAAUACCGACCCGCAUGAAAGGCGUAACGACUUGGGCACUGUCUCAACGAGAAGCUCGGUGAAAUUGUAGCACCCGUGAAGAUGCGGGUUAUGCGCAGUAGGACGGAAAGACCCCGUGGAGCUUUACUACACCCUAACGUUGCUGCCCGGCCUAGCUUGUAGAGCUUAGGUGGGAGAC
RNAcentral lists this ribosomal RNA (1645 nucleotides) under Pycnococcus provasolii. Its description in RNAcentral is "partial Bacterial large subunit ribosomal RNA". It matches the Rfam family "Bacterial large subunit ribosomal RNA", at positions 518 to 2155 of the family's 2925-position model. Lineage: Eukaryota; Viridiplantae; Chlorophyta; Pseudoscourfieldiophyceae; Pseudoscourfieldiales; Pycnococcaceae. The record is from RNAcentral.